This 460-nucleotide ribosomal RNA is filed under the name uncultured bacterium. Its description in RNAcentral is "partial 16S ribosomal RNA". It matches the Rfam family "Bacterial small subunit ribosomal RNA", at positions 338 to 795 of the family's 1533-position model. The record is from RNAcentral.
CCUACGGUAGGCAGCAGUGAGGAAUAUUGGUCAAUGGACGCAAGUCUGAACCAGCCAUGCCGCGUGCAGGAAGACGGCUCUAUGAGUUGUAAACUGCUUUUGUACGAGGGUAAACGCAGAUACGCGUAUCUGUCUGAAAGUAUCGUACGAAUAAGGAUCGGCUAACUCCGUGCCAGCAGCCGCGGUAAUACGGAGGAUUCAAGCGUUAUCCGGAUUUAUUGGGUUUAAAGGGUGCGUAGGCGGUCGGAUAAGUUAGAGGUGAAAUCCCGAGGCUCAACUUCGGAAUUGCAUCUGAUACUGUUCGGCUAGAGAGUAGUUGCGGUAGGCGGAAUGUAUGGUGUAGCGGUGAAAUGCUUAGAGAUCAUACAGAACACCGAUUGCGAAGGCAGCUUACCAAGCUACUUCUGACGUUGAGGCACGAAAGCGUGGGGAGCAAACAGGAUUAGAUACCCGGGUAGUC